UGUGGUGGUGGAGCUAAUGACAUGUGUGCAGAAACUCUUCUGAAUGGGACUUCCCUGAUCCUGUUUUUACCUGAUCUUCAUGCUCAAUAGAAAAAGCCUCAGCUUUGGAAUCAGCUUCCCAGUGAACACCGAGAGUUGAGUUUAGCAACUGUUUGGACUGGCCAUGUAACAGGGCCGUCCAGGUAGCAUGGCAUGGUACUGGAACACUAUGUCUUCUCUCUGACCUCUCGGAAUAUCUCUGUGAUUCAAUGUGUUGGCCCAUUGGAGGCCCUGGUACCCGUAUAAGUCCCUGUUUGACUGGUUAAAACCUGGAGGUUUGAGAAACCCCUGAUCUUCUCCAUACUCUUCACAAGGGCAAUGGCUGGCCAAGAUUACAAAUUAGUGACUGUUGAGGCUGGAAUCUGUACCGAGGUCAUGGGAACCCCCUGCACUGCCCCUUCUAAUCACCCUCCUGCUUGGACCCUGGGAGUAUGACAAAGAGUCAGAUAAGACAACUGAGGCUGAAGAUCACACAACCAGUAAAUGGAACAGCCAGAAAUCAAAUGUUAUAUAUUGGCCCUGAAGUGGGGAUAAAGCAGCUAAAAGAAAGUGUACUUUACAUUAAAUUUUAAGGUAUCCAAAAGCAAAUCAAUAAGCCAUACUCUAGUUACAUUAAGAUAUUUUCACAAGUGCUAGGUUAAGUAAUAUAAAAUUACCAUUUUUGUAGGUCAAAAGUAAUGGAAUAUCAUGCUUGUAUAUGGUUUGAUCUAAUAUAUAUCAUUAUCAGGUUCUACUAAUACAGAGUUUUCUGCCUUUACUUAACCAUCACAAUAAACUAAGGACUUCCAAGCUAGUAAGAAUAAUGACACAGAUAAUAAUUAGAAAAGUAUUCAUAACAUUAUCAACAAGAUUUAUGAGACAGGCAGAAAAAUCACAAAAAGGAAAAAAAGUCAGUUUGAAGUGUGAAAUCAAGUGAAUGAAGUAAGACAGAAGCAAUAAUCUCUACAACAAAAGAUGAGAACUUGCCUCCUCUAAAUCCCAUACACACAUGGCUAUUUGUUCCAAGCUUAUGUGGAUCAUCGCUAAUUUACAAACAGUG
Molecule: long non-coding RNA, 1078 nt
Filed under: Homo sapiens (human)
Lineage: Eukaryota; Metazoa; Chordata; Mammalia; Primates; Hominidae
Description: long non-coding RNA NONHSAT196622.1
Source: RNAcentral